RNAcentral lists this ribosomal RNA (433 nucleotides) under uncultured bacterium. RNAcentral's name for it is "partial 16S ribosomal RNA". It matches the Rfam family "Bacterial small subunit ribosomal RNA", at positions 29 to 507 of the family's 1533-position model. The record is from RNAcentral.
AACGAACGCUGGCGGCAUGCCUAACACAUGCAAGUCGAACGAGACCUUCGGUUCUAGUGGCGUACGGGUGCGUAACGCGUGGGAACCUGCCCUUAGGUUCGGAAUAACUCCCCGAAAGGGGUGCUAAUACCGGAUAAUGUCUUCGGACCAAAGAUUUAUCGCCUUUGGAUGUGCCCGCGUUGGAUUAGCUAGUUGGUAGGGUAAAAGCCUACCAAGGCGACGAUCCAUAGCUGGUCUGAGAGGAUGAUCAGCCACACUGGGACUGAGACACGGCCCAGACUCCUACGGGAGGCAGCAGUGGGGAAUAUUGGACAAUGGGCGAAAGCCUGAUCCAGCAAUGCCGCGUGAGUGAUGAAGGCCUUAGGGUUGUAAAGCUCUUUUACACGGGAUGAUAAUGACAGUACCGGGAGAAUAAGCACCGGCUAACUCCGUG